GAUGAACGCUGGCGGCGUGCCUAAUACAUGCAAGUCGAGCGAACAGACGAGGAGCUUGCUCCUCUGACGUUAGCGGCGGACGGGUGAGUAACACGUGGAUACCCUACCUAUAAGACUGGGAUAACUUCGGGAAACCGGAGCUAAUACCGGAUAAUAUAUUGAACCGCAUGGUUCAAUAGUGAAAGACGGUUUUGCUGUCACUUAUAGAUGGAUCCGCGCCGCAUUAGCUAGUUGGUAAGGUAACGGCUUACCAAGGCAACGAUGCGUAGCCGACCUGAGAGAGUGGUCGGCCACACUGGAACUGAGACACGGUCCAGACUCCUACGAGAGGCAGCAGUAGGGAAUCUUCCGCAAUGGGCGAAAGCCUGACAGAGCAACGCCGCGUGAGUGAUGAAGGUCUUCGGAUCGUAAAACUCUGUUAUUAGGGAAGAACAAAUGUGUAAGUAACUAUGCACGUCUUGACGGUACCUAAUCAGAAAGCCACGGCUAACUACGUG
This 497-nucleotide ribosomal RNA is filed under the name uncultured bacterium. Its description in RNAcentral is "partial 16S ribosomal RNA". It matches the Rfam family "Bacterial small subunit ribosomal RNA", at positions 28 to 507 of the family's 1533-position model. The record is from RNAcentral.